Long non-coding RNA from Daphnia carinata, 738 nucleotides. RefSeq lists it as uncharacterized. Lineage: Eukaryota; Metazoa; Arthropoda; Branchiopoda; Diplostraca; Daphniidae. The transcript has 3 exons. The record is from RefSeq and is a predicted model, not a curated record.
CUUAACGCGUGUAGUCUGCUGUCUACUUUUCCUCGCUAGAUAGUCCGUCCUCGUUAGAUUUUACUUCUUGACCUCUAUAUAAUCUAAUUUGUUUAAUUCUGAUCUACAUUUUUUCUUUCCCGGGUCACAAGUGUGAAGGACAUUUUGCCAGAGUCUCCACAAGCUGGUGGGGGCGACGGUAGUAGUCCGUUGACGUCACAAAUAUGGAGCAGGGGGACAUUUCUCGAAGGAUUGCCCAUAAUAGGGUCGCGGCGGUGGUGGAAGUCGUACCUGCCAUGAGAUAAACGAAAAACAAAAAGAACAUCAUUUUUAGUGCUCAUUUUUAACGAAGAAGAGGGAAAUGUAGCAAGGGAUUUUCCUCAAGGAGGAAGCAUUGGUGGCAGCAACUGUUACACUUUAAACAUCAAUUGUAUCUUCACAAAAAUAUUUUAUCUUCCAGUGUUCAUUGUUUUACUCCUAGUGUGAUGAAGCUGGCCACACCCCGAAAGGCUGCCAGAAUCUCUUCAUUGAAUUGACGGAAGAUGGAAAGCCACAUGAGCAAUACGUUCCGGAAGCUGUGACAUGUGGUGAAAAGGAACUGUUUAAGGGCAUCAUCUGUGUGGGAAUGCUUUAACAAUUUUGAUAAAGUCGUCCUUCAUGUAAGCCAUUUCUCGAAACUGUAUUUAAAAAAAAUAUCUAUUGGGUUUGCUUUAGGCUACAGGAAAAGAUGUACGUCAAUACAUAACAUCAUUCGAAGAA